This 18-nucleotide small nuclear RNA is filed under the name Arabidopsis thaliana (thale cress). RNAcentral's name for it is "snRNA_10412". The record is from RNAcentral. Lineage: Eukaryota; Viridiplantae; Streptophyta; Magnoliopsida; Brassicales; Brassicaceae.
GACCUUCGGAAUUUGAAG